CCGCGGUAAUACGGAGGGAGCUAGCGUUGUUCGGAAUUACUGGGCGUAAAGCGCGCGUAGGCGGCUUUGUAAGUUAGAGGUGAAAGCCCGGGGCUCAACCCCGGAAUUGCCUUUAAGACUGCAUCGCUAGAAUCCGGGAGAGGAUGGUGGAACUCCCAGUGUAGAGGUGAAAUUCGUAGAUAUUGGGAAGAACACCCGUGGCGAAGGCGGCCAUCUGGACCGGUACUGACGCUAAGGCGCGACAGCGUGGGGAGCAAACAG
This 261-nucleotide ribosomal RNA is filed under the name uncultured bacterium. Its description in RNAcentral is "partial 16S ribosomal RNA". It matches the Rfam family "Bacterial small subunit ribosomal RNA", at positions 515 to 775 of the family's 1533-position model. The record is from RNAcentral.